GUGGGGAAUAUUGGACAAUGGGCGCAAGCCUGAUCCAGCCAUGCCGCGUGAGUGAUGAAGGCCUUAGGGUUGUAAAGCUCUUUCAGCUGGGAAGAUAAUGACGGUACCAGCAGAAGAAGCCCCGGCUAACUCCGUGCCAGCAGCCGCGGUAAUACGGAGGGGGCUAGCGUUGUUCGGAAUUACUGGGCGUAAAGCGCACGUAGGCGGAUCAGAAAGUCAGAGGUGAAAUCCCAGGGCUCAACCUUGGAACUGCCUUUGAAACUCCUGGUCUUGAGGUCGAGAGAGGUGAGUGGAAUUCCGAGUGUAGAGGUGAAAUUCGUAGAUAUUCGGAGGAACACCAGUGGCGAAGGCGGCUCACUGGCUCGAUACUGACGCUGAGGUGCGAAAGCGUGGGGAGCAAACAGGAUUAGAUACCCGAGUAGUCC
Molecule: ribosomal RNA, 425 nt
Filed under: uncultured bacterium
Lineage: Bacteria
Description: partial 16S ribosomal RNA
Rfam family: Bacterial small subunit ribosomal RNA
Source: RNAcentral